This is a long non-coding RNA of Mesocricetus auratus (golden hamster), 1148 nucleotides long. RefSeq lists it as uncharacterized. The transcript has 3 exons. Lineage: Eukaryota; Metazoa; Chordata; Mammalia; Rodentia; Cricetidae. The record is from RefSeq and is a predicted model, not a curated record.
UCGUGUCUGCGAGUGAGAAAGAGCAGUUACUGUCCAGGCUUGGCGCGAGCCGUUCCGAGCGGUCCCUUUCUUGCCCUUAGUUCUUCUGCACUAGAAUGGAUGUGUCUGGCCACUGUCCCUCACUUGGUCCCGCCUUCAUCCGGCCCUGACCCUCUCUGCCCAAGGCUGCCCCGCCAGCCUGGAAGCCAGCCACCACCCAGCCCCAACCCCUGUUGCAAGCUCACGACAGGAAGAAGCUGGCUUUGCUCUUGGAGGUGCUGAGAAAUUGAAGGCGUGCAAAAGCUGGACCCGCCAAAAUUUCGAGCUGGAAGCCCUGUACCGGAGAAAGCAGCCCUAAGGGAAUCCAUCCACGCGGGUCCAGGCUUAUGAAGCUGCGCCUGGUUUGCAAGAGGCAGGACCCAGCAAGGCCCACUCGGUUCUUCUUGUCUCGGAAUCCACGCCACAAGCUCCAGGGAAGGGGCCGGGAUCUGAUGGGAAGAGGCACAGAAAACAAAGCAGGCAUGAGGUGUCUCUGAGAGGAAGGGUGCAGGUUCAAAUGCUAACUCCCCUAAUUGGGAAUCUCCCCUUGGUCUUUCUCUGCUUCACCUGCCUUGGUCAUAAAACACAGGGGUAAAUAGCCAGGCGUCGGUGGUGCACGCCUUUAAUCCCAGCACUCGGGAGGCAAAGCAAGACGGAUCUCUGUGAGUUCGAGACCAGCCAGGUCUACAGACCGAGUUCCAGGACAGCCUCCAAAACAAUAGAGAAACCCUGUCUCACAAAAACAAACAAAAACCAAACAAACCCCCCAAACAUAGGGAUAAUGCUUUAGCCACUCCCCAGGCAUUGAGAGGCCACAUAGCACCUGGCACGUGGUAUUGAAAUAGAGUCUAGACAAAGCAUGCCUUCUUCUUCUAACAGCUGUAUGGAAGAGCUUUUCUUCCCCAUUUUCCUGAUGAGGAAACCGAGGAAGACCUGGGAGGCGGGGAGACACCCACCUGAUAAUCAUCCCCUUCAUACCUGCGCCCAGGUGGGGCCUGUCCUGGUCUUUCCAGAGCAGAGUCCCACCCUGAUGAGAUGGGGGCGUGUCCACGCCUCUGGCCAAGAGGAAGGCGGGACCUGCUCACUCACCCUUCUCUCUUCUGUCCCUGCUCCAUCUGGGCACCUACCUC